This 331-nucleotide ribosomal RNA is filed under the name uncultured Sandonidae. Its description in RNAcentral is "SSU rRNA". It matches the Rfam family "Eukaryotic small subunit ribosomal RNA", at positions 630 to 955 of the family's 1831-position model. Lineage: Eukaryota; Cercozoa; Glissomonadida; Viridiraptoridae. The record is from RNAcentral.
GAUUUCUGGGCAUUCAGAAUGUGGCCGGCCACGGUUUCGUGUGUUAGUGCUAUUGUUCUGUGUCCAUCCUUCCAAUCGCUGCGAGUGCCGUUCUUCAUUGCGCGGUGCUCUGUCAGUAUUGGAUCUUUUACUUUGAAAAAAUUAGAGUGUUUCAAGCAGGCUUUAUUGCUAUGAAUACAUUAGCAUGGAAUAAUAAUUUAGGACUUCGGUUCUAUUUUGUUGGUUUCUAGGACUGAAGUAAUGAUUGAUAGGGAUAGUUGGGGGUGCUAGUAUUCAGCGGCCAGAGGUGAAAUUCUCGGAUUCGCUGAAGACUAACUUAUGCGAAAGCAUU